GUUGAACGCUGGCGGCAGGCCUAACACAUGCAAGUCGAGCGGAUGAAGGGAGCUUGCCCCUGGAUUCAGCGGCGGACGGGUGUGUAAUGCCUAUGAAUCUUCCUGGUAGUGGUUGAUAACGUCCGGGAACGGGCGCUACUACCGCCUACGUCCUGAGUGAGAAAGUUGGGGAUCUUCGGACCUCACGCUAUCAGAUGAGCCUAGGUCGGAUUAGCUAGUUGGUGGGGUAAAGGCCUACCAAGGCGACGAUCCGUAACUGGUCUGAGAGGAUGAUCAGUCACACUAGAACUGAGACACGGUCCAGACUCCUACGGGAGGCAGCAGUGGGGAAUAUUGGACAAUGGGCGAAAGCCUGAUACAGCCAUGGCGAGUGUGUGAAGAAGGUCUUCGGAUUGUAGAGACCUUUAAGUUGGGAGGAAGGGCAGUAAGUUAAUACCUUGCUGUUUUGACGGUACCAAGAGAAUAAGCACCGGCUAACUUCGUG
This 484-nucleotide ribosomal RNA is filed under the name uncultured bacterium. RNAcentral describes it as "partial 16S ribosomal RNA". It matches the Rfam family "Bacterial small subunit ribosomal RNA", at positions 28 to 507 of the family's 1533-position model. The record is from RNAcentral.